This 429-nucleotide ribosomal RNA is filed under the name Chloroflexota bacterium. RNAcentral's name for it is "Chloroflexi bacterium partial 16S ribosomal RNA". It matches the Rfam family "Bacterial small subunit ribosomal RNA", at positions 355 to 776 of the family's 1533-position model. Lineage: Bacteria; Bacillati; Chloroflexota. The record is from RNAcentral.
UGGGGAAUAUUGCACAAUGGGCGCAAGCCUGAUGCAGCCAUGCCGCGUGUGUGAAGAAGGCCUUCGGGUUGUAAAGCACUUUCAGCGGGGAGGAAGGCGAUAAGGUUAAUAACCUCAUCGAUUGACGUUACCCGCAGAAGAAGCACCGGCUAACUCCGUGCCAGCAGCCGCGGUAAUACGGAGGGUGCAAGCGUUAAUCGGAAUUACUGGGCGUAAAGCGCACGCAGGCGGUCUGUCAAGUCGGAUGUGAAAUCCCCGGGCUCAACCUGGGAACUGCAUGCGAAACUGGCAGGCUAGAGUCUUGUAGAGGGGGGUAGAAUUCCAGGUGUAGCGGUGAAAUGCGUAGAGAUCUGGAGGAAUACCGGUGGCGAAGGCGGCCCCCUGGACAAAGACUGACGCUCAGGUGCGAAAGCGUGGGGAGCAAACAGG